CCUACGGGUGGCAGCAGUGAGGAAUAUUUGUCAAUGGGCGUAAGCCUGAACCAGCCAAGUCGCGUGAGGGAUGAAGGUUCUAUGGAUCGUAAACCUCUUUUAUAAGGGAAUAAAGUGUGGGACGUGUCCUAUUUUGUCUGUACCUUAUGAAUAAGGAUCGGCUAACUCCGUGCCAGCAGCCGCGGUAAUACGGAGGAUCCGAGCUUUAUCCGGAUUUAUUGGGUUUAAAGGGUACGUAGGUGGCCGUUUAAGUCAGCGGUGAAAGUCUGUGGCUCAACCAUAGAAUUGCCGUUGAAACUGGGGGGCUUGAGUAUGUUUGAGGCAGGCGGAAUGCGUGGUGUAGUGGUGAAAUGCUUAGAUAUCACGCAGAACCCCGAUUGCGAAGGCAGCCUGCCAAGCCAUGACUGACGCUGAGGCACGAAAGCGUGGGGAGCAAACAGGAUUAGAUACCCCAGUAGUC
This 460-nucleotide ribosomal RNA is filed under the name uncultured bacterium. RNAcentral's name for it is "partial 16S ribosomal RNA". It matches the Rfam family "Bacterial small subunit ribosomal RNA", at positions 338 to 795 of the family's 1533-position model. The record is from RNAcentral.